GACGAACGCUGGCGGCGUGCUUAACACAUGCAAGUCGAACGAAAAGAGGGAAAGAGCUUGCUCUUUCCGGAAUUGAGUGGCAAACGGGUGAGUAACACGUAAACAACCUGCCUUCAGGAUGGGGACAACAGACGGAAACGACUGCUAAUACCGAAUAAGUUCCAAGAGCCGCAUGGCCCAUGGAAGAAAAGGUGGCCUCUACCUGUAAGCUAUCGCCUGAAGAGGGGUUUGCGUCUGAUUAGCUGGUUGGAGGGGUAACGGCCCACCAAGGCGACGAUCAGUAGCCGGUCUGAGAGGAUGAACGGCCACACUGGAACUGAGACACGGUCCAGAAGCCUACGGGAGGCAGCAGGGGGGAAUCUUCCGCAAUGGGCGAAAGCCUGACGGAGCAACGCCGCGGGAGGGAUGACGGCCUUCGGGUUGUAAAACUCUGUGAUCCGGGACGAAAAGGCAGAGUGCGAAGAACAAACUGCAUUGACGGUACCGGAAAAGCAAGCCACGGCUAACUACGUG
Molecule: ribosomal RNA, 513 nt
Filed under: uncultured bacterium
Lineage: Bacteria
Description: partial 16S ribosomal RNA
Rfam family: Bacterial small subunit ribosomal RNA
Source: RNAcentral